RNAcentral lists this ribosomal RNA (253 nucleotides) under uncultured bacterium. RNAcentral describes it as "partial 16S ribosomal RNA". It matches the Rfam family "Bacterial small subunit ribosomal RNA", at positions 524 to 776 of the family's 1533-position model. The record is from RNAcentral.
UACGUAGGGUGCGAGCGUUAAUCGGAAUUACUGGGCGUAAAGCGUGCGCAGGCGGUUGUGCAAGACAGAUGUGAAAUCCCCGGGCUUAACCUGGGAACUGCAUUUGUGACUGCACAGCUGGAGUGCGGCAGAGGGGGAUGGAAUUCCGCGUGUAGCAGUGAAAUGCGUAGAUAUCGAGAGGAACACCAGUGGCGAAGGCGAGUCCCUGGACAACUACUGACACUGAGGCACGAAAGCUAGGGGAGCAAACAGG